RNAcentral lists this transfer RNA (77 nucleotides) under Staphylococcus aureus. Its description in RNAcentral is "tRNA-Pro". It matches the Rfam family "tRNA". Rfam says of the family: Transfer RNA (tRNA) molecules are approximately 80 nucleotides in length. Their secondary structure includes four short double-helical elements and three loops (D, anti-codon, and T loops). Further hydrogen bonds mediate the characteristic L-shaped molecular structure. tRNAs have two regions of fundamental functional importance: the anti-codon, which is responsible for specific mRNA codon recognition, and the 3' end, to which the tRNAs corresponding amino acid is attached (by aminoacyl-tRNA synthetases). tRNAs cope with the degeneracy of the genetic code in two manners: having more than one tRNA (with a specific anti-codon) for a particular amino acid; and 'wobble' base-pairing, i.e. permitting non-standard base-pairing at the 3rd anti-codon position. The record is from RNAcentral. RNAcentral also lists the same sequence under 15 other names. Lineage: Bacteria; Bacillati; Bacillota; Bacilli; Caryophanales; Staphylococcaceae.
CGGGAAGUAGCUCAGCUUGGUAGAGCACUUGGUUUGGGACCAAGGGGUCGCAGGUUCGAAUCCUGUCUUCCCGAUCA